Molecule: long non-coding RNA, 223 nt
Organism: Nematolebias whitei (Rio pearlfish)
Lineage: Eukaryota; Metazoa; Chordata; Actinopteri; Cyprinodontiformes; Rivulidae
Exons: 3
Source: RefSeq, a predicted model, not a curated record
CAAAGCUGAAUAUUUUGUUGUCUUUUUGUCUUCUGUAGUUUCCUGGACAGAAUCGACUCUGUGAGACAGAGUGACUACACACCAACAGACCAGGACCUGCUACGCUGCCGAGUGUUAACUUCAGGGAUUUUUGAGACGAGGUUCCAAGUAGACAAAGUGAACUUUCACAUGUUUGAUGUUGGAGGCCAGAGAGAUGAAAGGAGGAAGUGGAUCCAGUGCUUUA